AGUAACAAGGUCAAUCUAUACGAAUAGUUACAAUUAAAAAGUCAACGACAAAUAGACCAUAUUCUUAAUGAAUAUAAAUUAUUGGUACAAAAUUUUGCUUUUAACGUUAUCUCGAUCAGUUAUUUUCUAUAUACCAAAUUCCUAUUUUAAAUUACAAAUUUUAUAAAAACUGCAUAAGUAUAAAACUAUAUCAUAACUGAUAAAAAUCAGUCACCAGUCAAUACAGAGUGAAAAAUAUAAUAAGAAAAUGUUAAAAGCAUUUAUUUCAAAGAAAGUGGAGAUUGCUGACUUUGCCACGCAACGCCCCAAUUGGUUUUAUAUUGGAAAAUCAUAGGCAAACAAGGAUAAACAGUUGUAUACAAAUAAAUGUCGCGUUGUCAGAGUCAAGACAGUCAACAGAAAGGAUGCACCCGGCACACCCUGUAGUUCCUAUGGAGGACAGGACAUAACAGGAUAAUCACAAAACAUAAAAGUUGGUUAGACAACUCUUGCUCCACAAGAGACAAGGUCGCCAUCCUGGGGCUAUGGGUAUGAUACAAUGGUUUCCCACUGCCUUUUGCGCCAUUCGGGUAGCCAUUUAUAUCUCCAGACGGUUGCCCGCCUAGCUAGAGAAACAACUAGCGACCAAGAUUUAAACCACAGCUAGUGCGUAGAAGCACUGCGGCGGUAACCCUCUCAGCCACGGACAUUUAAAAACCAUAUACACAUAUUAUUGUUUUUUUCAAAUAAUAUUAUAUAA
This is a long non-coding RNA of Adelges cooleyi (spruce gall adelgid), 739 nucleotides long. RefSeq lists it as uncharacterized. The transcript is spliced from 4 exons. The record is from RefSeq and is a predicted model, not a curated record. Lineage: Eukaryota; Metazoa; Arthropoda; Insecta; Hemiptera; Adelgidae.